RNAcentral lists this ribosomal RNA (229 nucleotides) under uncultured bacterium. RNAcentral's name for it is "partial 16S ribosomal RNA". It matches the Rfam family "Bacterial small subunit ribosomal RNA", at positions 568 to 796 of the family's 1533-position model. The record is from RNAcentral.
UACGUAGGCGGAAAAUUAAGUCAGUAGUGAAAUCCCGCAGCUUAACUGUGGAACUGUUAUUGAUACUGGUUUUCUUGAAUAUAGUUGAGGUAGGCGGAAUGUGUAAUGUAGCGGUGAAAUGCUUAGAUAUUACACAGAACACCGAUUGCGAAGGCAGCUUACUAAGCUAUGAUUGACGCUGAGGCACGAAAGCGUGGGGAGCGAACAGGAUUAGAUACCCUGGUAGUCC